RNAcentral lists this ribosomal RNA (657 nucleotides) under uncultured bacterium. RNAcentral's name for it is "bacterial SSU rRNA". It matches the Rfam family "Bacterial small subunit ribosomal RNA", at positions 41 to 717 of the family's 1533-position model. The record is from RNAcentral.
GGUGCGCCUAACAAUGCAAGUCGAGCGGUAGAAUUAUUAUUGAAUCUUCGGAUGAUUUAAUAAUUUGAGAGCGGCGAACGGGUGAGUAACACGUUGGUAUCUGCCCCCAAGUCAGGGAUAGCCAUUGGAAACGAUGAUUAAUACCGGAUAGCCUCUUCGGAGUAAAGAUUUAUUGCUUGGGGAGGAACCUGCGUUCUAUCAGCUAGUUGGUGAGGUAAAAGCUCACCAAGGCUAUGACGGAUACCUGGUCUGAGAGGAUGAUCAGGCACAAUGGAACUGAGACACGGUCCAUACUCCUACGGGAGGCAGCAGUGAGGAAUCUUCCACAAUGGGCGAAAGCCUGAUGGAGCGACACCGCGUGAAGGAUGAAGGCCUAACGGUUGUAAACUUCUUUUCUGAAGGAGCAUAAUGAGAGUACUUCAGGAAUAAGGGACGGCUAAAUACGUGCCAGCAGCCGCGGUAAUACGUAUGUCUCGAGCGUUACCCGGAAUCACUGGGUGUAAAGGGUUUGUAGGCGGCUUGUUAAGUUGGAUAUGAAAGACCGGAGCUCAACUCCGAGUUUGUGUUCAAAACUGGCAAGCUAGAAUCAAGGAGAGGUAAGCGGAAUUCUAAGUGUAGGGGUGCAAUCCGUAGAUACUUAGUGGAACACCAAAAGCG